UGAAGGAUAGCACAGUUGGGUAGAGCAUAAGACUCUUAAUCUCAGAGACAUGGGUUCGAAUUCCGUGCUGGGCAAAA
Podarcis lilfordi (Lilford's wall lizard) is the source of this 77-nucleotide non-coding RNA. The record is from the annotation of a GenBank genome assembly. Lineage: Eukaryota; Metazoa; Chordata; Lepidosauria; Squamata; Lacertidae.